Molecule: ribosomal RNA, 406 nt
Filed under: uncultured bacterium
Lineage: Bacteria
Description: partial 16S ribosomal RNA
Rfam family: Bacterial small subunit ribosomal RNA
Source: RNAcentral
AUUGAACGCUGGCGGCAGGCCUAACACAUGCAAGUCGAACGAGUGGCGGACGGGUGAGUAAUGUCUGGGAAUCUGCCUGAUGGAGGGGGAUAACUACUGGAAACGGUGGCUAAUACCGCAUACCAUCAGAUGUGCCCAGAUGGGUUUAGCUUGGUGGUGGGGUAACGGCACACCAGGGCGACGAUCCCUAGCGGGUCUGAGAGGUGGACCGGCGACACGGGAACUGAGACACGGCCCAGACGCCUACGGGAGGCAGCAGUGGGGAAUAUUGGGCAAUGGGCGCAAGCCUGAUGCAGCCAGGCCGCGUGUGUUAAGAAGGCCUUCGGGUUGUAAAGUACUUUCAGCGGGGAGGCGUUACCUGUAGAAGAAGCACCGGCUAACUCCGUGCCAGCAGCCGCGGUAAUUC